UGUUGAAAAUUUUAUUCAUUUCUACAGUUAAAAAUUGAUCAUGUAACGUGUCAUAGGUAACUAAUGCUGGCAUAUAAAGAUUAUCUUUUAACAGUAAAAAUGAAUGAAAUUUUUAUCA
This 118-nucleotide microRNA precursor is filed under the name Gossypium arboreum. RNAcentral's name for it is "MIR7502 microRNA precursor family". It matches the Rfam family "MIR7502 microRNA precursor family". Lineage: Eukaryota; Viridiplantae; Streptophyta; Magnoliopsida; Malvales; Malvaceae. The record is from Rfam by way of RNAcentral.